AUACGUAGGGGGCGAGCGUUGUCCGGAAUGAUUGGGCGUAAAGGGCGCGUAGGCGGCCCGGUAAGUCUGGAGUGAAAGUCCUGCUUUUAAGGUGGGCAUUGCUUUGGAUACUGUCGGGCUUGAGUGCAGGAGAGGUAAGUGGAAUUCCCAGUGUAGCGGUGAAAUGCGUAGAGAUUGGGAGGAACACCAGUGGCGAAGGCGACUUACUGGACUGUAACUGACGCUGAGGCGCGAAAGUGUGGGGAGCAAACAGGAUUAGAUACCCUGGUAGUCCACACUGUAAACGAUGAAUGCUAGGUGUAGGGGGUAUCGACCCCUUCUGUGCCGCAGUUAACACAAUAAGCAUUCCGCCUGGGGAGUACGGCCGCAAGGUUGAAACUCAAAUGAAUUGACGGGG
This 397-nucleotide ribosomal RNA is filed under the name uncultured bacterium. Its description in RNAcentral is "partial 16S ribosomal RNA". It matches the Rfam family "Bacterial small subunit ribosomal RNA", at positions 523 to 918 of the family's 1533-position model. The record is from RNAcentral.